GACGGGCGGUGUGUGCAAGGGGCAGGGACGUAUUCACCGGGGGAAUGGUGACCCCCGAUUACUAGGGAUUCCACCGUCGUGAGGGCGAGUUGCAGCCCUCAGUCUGGACUGAGAGCGGGUUUCGGGGAUUUCCUUCCCCUUUCGGGGUCGGAUCCCGCUGUCCCGCCCAUUGUUGCACACACCGCCCGUC
RNAcentral lists this ribosomal RNA (190 nucleotides) under uncultured archaeon. RNAcentral's name for it is "partial 16S rRNA". The record is from RNAcentral.